This 68-nucleotide small nucleolar RNA is filed under the name Cavia porcellus (domestic guinea pig). Its description in RNAcentral is "Small nucleolar RNA SNORD77". It matches the Rfam family "Small nucleolar RNA SNORD77". From Rfam's summary of the family: U77 belongs to the C/D family of snoRNAs. Lineage: Eukaryota; Metazoa; Chordata; Mammalia; Rodentia; Caviidae. The record is from Rfam by way of RNAcentral.
AUACUAUGAUGGUUGCAUAGUUCAGCAGAUAAAUCAUGAAGAGAUUUACCCAUUUGUCUGAUGUAUCU